UUAAAUGUGUUGAAGAAGGAAAGUAAGUCAAAGGAAACUCACAGAGAGAAAAUCAUUGGUGGAAGAUUUUCAGGGAAAUUUGAUUGAAGUGCCCUUCGGAGCAAUGUACCGAACUAACAGUAGGCUACAUCGGGAUCUCCCGUUAUAGAGAUAGGGCAUCAAGUGCUUGAAAGUGGGCUAUUAGCCAAUUAGAGUGGAACCGCGGAGUAUAAACUUCGUCUCUUAU
Molecule: non-coding RNA, 226 nt
Filed under: Fusibacter sp.
Lineage: Bacteria; Bacillati; Bacillota; Clostridia; Eubacteriales; Fusibacteraceae
Description: T-box sequence
Rfam family: T-box leader
About the family: Uncharged tRNA acts as the effector for transcription antitermination of genes in the T-box leader family. T-boxes are found upstream of many aminoacyl-tRNA synthetase genes and some amino acid biosynthetic genes usually in Gram-positive bacteria.
Source: RNAcentral